AUGAACGCUGGCGGCGUGCCUAAUACAUGCAAGUCGAGCGAACGGACGAGAAGCUUGCUUCUCUGAUGUUAGCGGCGGACGGGUGAGUAACACGUGGAUAACCUACCUAUAAGACUGGGAUAACUUCGGGAAACCGGAGCUAAUACCGGAUAAUAUUUUGAACCGCCUGGUUCAAAAGUGAAAGACGGUCUUGCUGUCACUUAUAGAUGGAUCCGCGCUGCAUUAGCUAGUUGGUAAGGUAACGGCUUACCAAGGCAACGAUGCAUAGCCGACCUGAGAGGGUGAUAGGCCACACUGGAACUGAGACACGGUCCAGACUCCUACGGGAGGCAGCAGUAGGGAAUCUUCCGCAAUGGGCGAAAGCCUGACGGAGCAACGCCGCGUGAGUGAUGAAGGUCUUCGGAUCGUAAAACUCUGUUAUUAGGGAAGAACAUAUGUGUAAGUAACUGUGCACAUCUUGACGGUACCUAAUCAGAAAGCCACGGCUAACUACGUG
Molecule: ribosomal RNA, 496 nt
Filed under: uncultured bacterium
Lineage: Bacteria
Description: partial 16S ribosomal RNA
Rfam family: Bacterial small subunit ribosomal RNA
Source: RNAcentral